CCAGAGGGUUGGGCGGCCGCCGGUGUCACGUUUCGCGUGAUGCGGGAGGAAAGUCCGGGCUCCAAGAAGCAACGGUGCCGGGUAACGCCCGGCGGCGGAUGAAAGUCCGUCAGGGAAAGUGCCACAGAAAGCAUACCGCCCGGCGGGCCGGCAACGGCUCCGGGUCAGGGCGAAAGGGUGCGGUAAGAGCGCACCGCGGGCCGGGCAACCGGAACGGCAUGGCAAACCCCACCGGGAGCAAGACCGAAUAGGGACGGCAUAUGGGCUGGCUUCGCCCCGUCGUCCGGGUUGGUUGCUUGAGGUUGCGGGUAACCGCAGCCCUAGAGGAAUGGUCGCCCAUCCGGUGCCGGGGUUUCCCGGCAUCGGUGGACAGAACCCGGCUUAUAGACCCUCUGGCGUU
This is a non-coding RNA of Sphingomonas sp. KC8, 400 nucleotides long. It matches the Rfam family "Bacterial RNase P class A". From Rfam's summary of the family: Ribonuclease P (RNase P) is a ubiquitous endoribonuclease, found in archaea, bacteria and eukarya as well as chloroplasts and mitochondria. Its best characterised activity is the generation of mature 5'-ends of tRNAs by cleaving the 5'-leader elements of precursor-tRNAs. Lineage: Bacteria; Pseudomonadati; Pseudomonadota; Alphaproteobacteria; Sphingomonadales; Sphingomonadaceae. The record is from Rfam.